UGAAAAAAAAAAAAAAAAAGAAUAUUUACAUACAAAAGAUAAGGCGAUGAUAUUUAGCGAGUACUGGAGGAUAAAAAAAGCAAUCUAGAAAGAGAAACAUACAAUUGUACACAACCUAGAGGACUGUUAGUAUGUUAAAGAAUGCUUUAGAUGUACUGCUUAAUUAAUGUAUCUAUGAUUAUAUAAUUAGGUAGUAUUAUUUUUGGUUAAUGAGUUUGAGAUAAAGAUUAAAGAAUGUUAAAUGUUUGGAUUGCCAGGGUUAUAAUUAUACAAUGAUUGGGGAAUACAGAUUUUGGACUGGAAAUCAUAAUGCUUGGUAUAUUUUGGGUGUGUGUUUCUUUUUAAUUAUGUGUUUGGGAUAAACAAUAUGCAAAAUGAUAAAGAUUAGAUUGUUAAUUAGAACUAUAAACUAAUGUUAAUGGG
RNAcentral lists this unclassified non-coding RNA (423 nucleotides) under Hevea brasiliensis (rubber tree). The record is from RNAcentral. Lineage: Eukaryota; Viridiplantae; Streptophyta; Magnoliopsida; Malpighiales; Euphorbiaceae.